AAGGGAUAAAGUAUGAAAUUAUACCUAAAACUGGUAUCAUGUCACCUGCUUUUCAGACAGACUGAAGCUUCUAUUCAGAAACCAGCUGUCAGCUAAUUAGUUUGCUAAGCUUGCCCCAUUUUUCAUCGCUGCUUGACCUCAUUCACCCCCUAGUCUCACUCCUAAAGCUGUCUUACUUAGAGCAAAAUUUCUCAAAAAAUCCAUACUACCAGAGGGUGGGAGCAUACUCCCUGAGGAGAGAUUCUUAACAGUUAAAAAAUCUUGCAAAACCUAUGAAUAAGCUUAUAACACGUUUACAACUGUUGACUUUUCAAAGGUUAAUAGACAAUCCAAACACGAGGUAAACCUGGACCAAAGGACACACUUUGCCAGAUGGGCGAAAGCAACCUACAUUUUCCUUGGUCCCACUGCCACGACUGAUGACAGAUUUUCCUGCAGAACUCCAGGCAGGCUAGCAUUAAAACAAGAAAAAGCAGUCCAUCCAAACAUUUGUAGUGGCUGA
This 502-nucleotide long non-coding RNA is filed under the name Anas zonorhyncha (Eastern spot-billed duck). RNAcentral describes it as "lncRNA (ENSAZOG00000007016.1)". Lineage: Eukaryota; Metazoa; Chordata; Aves; Anseriformes; Anatidae. The record is from RNAcentral.